RNAcentral lists this microRNA precursor (110 nucleotides) under Oryza punctata. RNAcentral describes it as "MIR1428 microRNA precursor family". It matches the Rfam family "MIR1428 microRNA precursor family". Lineage: Eukaryota; Viridiplantae; Streptophyta; Magnoliopsida; Poales; Poaceae. The record is from Rfam by way of RNAcentral.
ACAUUUUGCAAAUUCACAGGCCCUACGUUACGACAUGAACUCAGUACGCAAUGAUUUAUGCUGUGUAUUGAGGGCUUUUCGUAACAUAAGGCCGUGAACUUGCAAAGUGU